GUGGGGAAUAUUGGACAAUUGGCGAAAGCCUGAUCCAGCCAUGCCGCGUGUGUGAAGAAGGUCUUCGGAUUGUAAAGCACUUUAAGUUGGGAGGAAGGGCAGUAAGUUAAUACCUUGCUGUUUUGACGUUACCGACAGAAUAAGCACCGGCUAACUUCGUGCCAGCAGCCGCGGUAAUACGAAGGGUGCAAGCGUUAAUCGGAAUUACUGGGCGUAAAGCGCGCGUAGGUGGUUUUGUAAGUUGGAGGUGAAAUCCCCGGGCUCAACCUGGGAACUGCCUCCAAAACUGCAUGACUAGAGUACGGUAGAGGGUAGUGGAAUUUCCUGUGUAGCGGUGAAAUGCGUAGAUAUAGGAAGGAACACCAGUGGCGAAGGCGACUACCUGGACUGAUACUGACACUGAGGUGCGAAAGCAUGGGGAGCAAACAGGAUUAGAAACCCCUGUAGUCC
RNAcentral lists this ribosomal RNA (450 nucleotides) under uncultured bacterium. Its description in RNAcentral is "bacterial SSU rRNA". It matches the Rfam family "Bacterial small subunit ribosomal RNA", at positions 354 to 796 of the family's 1533-position model. The record is from RNAcentral.